Molecule: ribosomal RNA, 481 nt
Filed under: uncultured bacterium
Lineage: Bacteria
Description: partial 16S ribosomal RNA
Rfam family: Bacterial small subunit ribosomal RNA
Source: RNAcentral
GAUGAACGCUGGCGGCGUGCCUAACACAUGCAAGUCGAACGAAGCAUUUAAGACAGAUUACUUCGGUUUGAGGUCUUUUAUGACUGAGUGGCGGACGGGUGAGUAACGCGUGGGUAACCUGCCUCAUACAGGGGGAUAGCAGCUGGAAACGGCUGGUAAUACCGCAUAAGCGCACAGUACCACAUGGUACAGUGUGAAAAACUCCGGUGGUAUGAGAUGGACCCGCGUCUGAUUAGAUUGUUGGCGGGGUCACGGCCCACCAAGGCGACAAUCAGUAGCCGACAAGAGAGGGUGGCCGGCGACAUUGAGGCUAAGACACGGCCCGGAAUCCUACGGGAGGCAGGAGAGGCGAAUAUAGCAAAAUGGAGGAAACGCUGAUGCAGCGACGCCGCGUGAGUGAAGAAGUAGUUCGCUAUGUAAAGCUCUAUCAGCAGGGAAGAUAGUGACGGUACCUAACGAAGAAGCUCCGGCUAAAUACGUG